This 371-nucleotide long non-coding RNA is filed under the name Athene cunicularia (burrowing owl). Its description in RNAcentral is "lncRNA (ENSACUG00000007219.1)". The record is from RNAcentral. Lineage: Eukaryota; Metazoa; Chordata; Aves; Strigiformes; Strigidae.
CUCUUGUCAGCUCUUGACUGUGGCAGCAAUGCAAAGUAUCAACGACAAAACACAUCAAAACUCUGAAAUGGACUGGUCCCUGCUACCUUCUCAUCUCUCCUGUCUUAUCAUGGCUUGGGUCAAGAACUGUGGUCAAGAAUUGUGACCAAGAGGAAAUACUGACCUUUUUUCUCUUCAUAUACUGGGAAAAAGAUGCUUCACUUCGUGGUUGGUUCCAUUGUUACACAUUUUCAUUCCGGCUUUUGAAAACCCAGCAACAAAUGGAUACAGAUUUUACCAUUCAUCCAGCCUGUAGCCUCCAGUCCAAGGCAUUAUUAAAUGUUGUUCAAAUGUUUUCAGAAAUUAAUUGCCUGUACCACAAUGAUUUAUAG